Oncorhynchus keta (chum salmon) is the source of this 396-nucleotide long non-coding RNA. RefSeq lists it as uncharacterized. Lineage: Eukaryota; Metazoa; Chordata; Actinopteri; Salmoniformes; Salmonidae. The transcript has 3 exons. The record is from RefSeq and is a predicted model, not a curated record.
GUACUAUGUAACUAUAUGACUGUAACUAUAGAGACUCUAUUAAACUACAGGUACUAUAGAGAUUAUAUUAAACUACAGGUACUAUGUAACUAUAUGACUGUAACUAUAGAGAUUCUAUUAAACUACAGGUACUAUAGAGACUCUAUUAAACUACAGGUACUAUAGAGAUUAUAUUAAACUACAGGUACUAUAGAGAUUAUAUUAAACUACAGGUACUAUAGAUAUUAUAUUAAACUACAGGUACUAUAGAGAUUCUAUUAAACUACAGGUACUAUAGAUAUUAUAUUAAACUACAGGUACUAUAGAGACUCUAUUAAACUACAGGUACUAUAGAGAUUAUAUUAAACUACAGGUACUAUAGAGAUUAUAUUAAACUACAGGUACUAUAGAUAUUAU